AGCGAACGCUGGCGGCAGGCUUAACACAUGCAAGUCGAGCGGGCACUUUCGGGUGUCAGCGGCGGACGGGUGAGUAACGCGUGGGAACGUGCCCUCUGGUUCGGAAUAACUCAGGGAAACUUGAGCUAAUACCGGAUACGCCCUUUUGGGGAAAGGCUUGCUGCCGGAGGAUCGGCCCGCGUCUGAUUAGCUAGUUGGUGAGGUAACGGCUCACCAAGGCGACGAUCAGUAGCUGGUCCGAGAGGAUGAUCAGCCACACUGGGACUGAGACACGGCCCAGACUCCUACGGGAGGCAGCAGUGGGGAAUAUUGGACAAUGGGCGCAAGCCUGAUCCAGCCAUGCCGCGUGAGUGAUCAAGGCCUUAGGGUUGUAAAGCUCUUUUAUCCGGGACGAUAAUGACGGUACCGGAGGAAUAAGCCCCGGCUAACUUCGUG
RNAcentral lists this ribosomal RNA (435 nucleotides) under uncultured bacterium. RNAcentral describes it as "partial 16S ribosomal RNA". It matches the Rfam family "Bacterial small subunit ribosomal RNA", at positions 29 to 507 of the family's 1533-position model. The record is from RNAcentral.